GUCGAGCGGUGAGAGAGGUGCUUGCACCUCUUGAGAGCGGCGGACGGGUGAGUAAUGCCUAGGAAUCUGCCUGGUAGUGGGGGAUAACGCUCGGAAACGGACGCUAAUACCGCAUACGUCCUACGGGAGAAAGCAGGGGACCUUCGGGCCUUGCGCUAUCAGAUGAGCCUAGGUCGGAUUAGCUAGUUGGUGAGGUAAUGGCUCAACAAGGCGACGAUCCGUAACUGGUCUGAGAGGAUGAUCAGUCACACUGGAACUGAGACACGGUCCAGACUCCUACGGGAGGCAGCAGUGGGGAAUAUUGGACAAUGGGCGAAAGCCUGAUCCAGCCAUGCCGCGUGUGUGAAGAAGGUCUUCGGAUUGUAAAGCACUUUAAGUUGGAGGAAGGGCAUUAACCUAAUACGUUAGUGUUUUGACGUUACCGACAGAAUAAGCACCGGCUAACUCUGUGCCAGCAGCCGCGGUAAUACAGAGGGUGCAAGCGUUAAUCGGAAUUACUGGGCGUAAAGCGCGCGUAGGUGGUUUGUUAAGUUGGAUGUGAAAGCCCCGGGCUCAACCUGGGAACUGCAUUCAAAACUGACAAGCUAGAGUAUGGUAGAGGGUGGUGGAAUUUCCUGUGUAGCGGUGAAAUGCGUAGAUAUAGGAAGGAACACCAGUGGCGAAGGCGACCACCUGGACUGAUA
This 683-nucleotide ribosomal RNA is filed under the name Pseudomonas corrugata. RNAcentral's name for it is "bacterial SSU rRNA". It matches the Rfam family "Bacterial small subunit ribosomal RNA", at positions 61 to 739 of the family's 1533-position model. The record is from RNAcentral. Lineage: Bacteria; Pseudomonadati; Pseudomonadota; Gammaproteobacteria; Pseudomonadales; Pseudomonadaceae.